This 150-nucleotide ribosomal RNA is filed under the name Morganella morganii. Its description in RNAcentral is "partial 23S ribosomal RNA". The stretch from base 1 to 132 matches the Rfam family "Bacterial large subunit ribosomal RNA", at positions 2799 to 2925 of the family's 2925-position model. The record is from RNAcentral. Lineage: Bacteria; Pseudomonadati; Pseudomonadota; Gammaproteobacteria; Enterobacterales; Morganellaceae.
UCGAGAUGAGUCUUCCCUGACCCUUUAAGGGUCCUGAAGGAACGUUUGAGACUAAGACGUUGAUAGGCUGGGUGUGUAAGCGCAGCGAUGCGUUGAGCUGACCAGUACUAAUGAACCGUGAGGCUUAACCUGACAACACCGAAGGUGUUU